Paramisgurnus dabryanus is the source of this 4627-nucleotide long non-coding RNA. RefSeq lists it as uncharacterized. The record is from RefSeq and is a predicted model, not a curated record. Lineage: Eukaryota; Metazoa; Chordata; Actinopteri; Cypriniformes; Cobitidae.
UGCAGAUUUGUUUUCUCUCUCUCUUUCUUUCUCUCUCUCUCUCUCUCUCUGGUUGGAUUAUCUGUGUGUGUGUGAGAGAGAAAACUCACUGCGUCUGCGUGCUGGGGGAGGAGUAUCUGUGUCACUCCCUCUCUCUCUUUCUCCUUUUUCUCCUCCCGCUCUAGACUUGCUGUUUUCCACCCUCCCAUUUUCUCUUUAUUUGUCUCUCUCGCUCUCUCUCUCUCGCUCGCUCUCUCUCUCUCUCUGAAGUGCAAGGCCAUGUGGGACGAGUGAUGAGGAGUUUCUCUCCUCUACGUCUCCUGUUUCAUUUCCCCCCUUUCUCUCUCUCUCUGCCUCUUUCGCUUUCUGUACGGGUUCGUAUUCCCAGUCUUUGCUGUCUUUAAGCUGUGCGUGACGUGGGGAAUGACCGCUGGAGACGAGUUUAGAGAGAUUGCGAGGGAAGGAAGGAAAAAAGGAGGAAAGGAAAAAAACGAGCUGCUUUUGCUGCCGCGGGGCCUCUCGACAAACGGGCCCAGCCGUAGAGAGAGAGAGAGAGAGAGACAGGGCGAAAGAGCCGUACUACAGCCCACCCAAAACCUGCCAACGCGUUCCUGUUUUCCAGCACAUUACUGCGCUGUACACGCACGCGAUUUUGAUGCUAGCAAGCGUUGGCGGCAAAACCAAAUUUUGCAUUUUUCAUGCAAUUUUGUUUGUUGCAAGAAAAGCAUUUCUUUUUAGAUUUUGUUUUUAGCGAAAGAGUGAACGUUCCACCAUCCUGACCCGCGCCAGCCCGCUCCGGGCCCGAGCGCCGCGCUGCCCGCGGAGCGGCACGAGGAACACAUUUUGGAAGUACCAAUCCAUCUCGAAGCCCUCCGAUCGGGAGUUCGGCCGUGUUGGAUCUCUUGUCUGGGACAGGUGUCAAUUGCUCCUAAAAAGCAAAGAGAAAAAAAUACGAAGUCGUGGAGGUGAACAUCCGCUCGAUGAACAUGUUGGGGGGUAAAGAGUGUGCUGGAUUCUUCCUUUGCUCGAACUCACGUGUCCAUGCCACUAUUGCACAAACCCUGAUAGCUGCAAAAAACACGCUCCGGAGGCUGCAAAAACUGAAAGGAAAAAUGUAGAAAGAGGAAGAGGAGGAGGUGGGCAGAAGACGAAGAUUGUGGUGGUGGCCGGGGGGCGGGGGGAAUUCAAGCUUGUUAAAUGUUUCUCAGGCCUCUGAGAGUCGAUCGCAUGUGCUGUGGUAACCGAGGCAUGAUUUGCAUGCAGCAGACACGCUAAUUGUGUGUUUGCUAACACGCGGCAUUCACAGAGAGCCUCUCCGUUUUGCAGACGGGGUUCACACACGCCUCCUAGACACCCGAGAGGCCUCCUUUUGUUCCAGAGGCCGAGCGGAGCGACCCGUGAGCCGAAUCGGAGCUCUGCGUGGACCUGCUGACCGAACGAGAGGGGAAGUAAAAUUCGAGAGCUCCUUCUCACUUUCUCUCCGCAGGAAGAAGGGCCGGCUGAGGAGGAUGCUUUUGGAAAUCGCUGGCAACCCUGUAGAUGUGUGGAGAAGGGAUGUUACAGAUGGACUGAAGCAGUCACGUUUUACGUAUUUCAGUCGUGCACAGCCCAAUCUCAGACGUUGAACCUCACGCACAUCUGGAGCAGGAGCUGAUGGCGUUUAAGAAUAGCAGCCCUGUUAACCUGUGCUUCAGCAGAUCCUCUCAUGACCUGUCUGGAUUUCUCCCGUCUGCAUCUGAGACCACUCAGGGUCGACACACAGACCCCAACGGUCCAGAUUACACACCGGGUUGGAUAAUUACAUUAGAUAUCAUACAUAGUCACUGUAUUCGGGAAUGAUGAAAUUAAUGUCAACACUGCAGACACUUUCGUGGUGAUAGUGUUAUGGGCGUUUCACACGGUACGUAGCAAGCGGUGAAAUCGCCAUGCCGCAACAUCUUUUCUCGUGUAGUGGAAGCUCUUUGUGCACAAUUUAGUGCAAAUAUGUUUAUUUUUAAUGGCUUGAAGAACCGUGUCUGUGGAAGGGGCAGGAUUUUUGGCGAGCGUACUGACUCUGCAAUCGCCCUCUUUUUGCCUCCUAUUGAAAAUGAACUAGACACUCACGGUUGCUGUGUACCGUGUAAACGCCCAUUACAGUUAAGGUACCAAGAGACCAGAUGACUUUGGGCCAGAUCCACACCAGCGCAGAUUCGGCCCAGGUCGUCUGUCGGCGUACUGUAUGAUAUAUGGGUACAGUGCUGUUUGUUUAUAUGUGCAGAUAAAAAAAACAUUUACCUUCAUACAGACGGUAACUUGAUAGAUCAGUUUUGUAAAGAAUAUGACAUAAUUUUUUAUAAAAAUUUAUUUAUGUAAAAAUAAGCAGUGUGUAAAAUCUGCAUAUUUGAAUUUAGUGUUAUUAUAUUUGAAUUUAGUGUUAUUAUAUUUGAAUUUAGUGUUAUUAUAUUUGAAUUUAGUGUUAUUAUAUUUGAAUUUAGUGUUAUUAAUUUUAAUUUAGUGUUAUUAUAUUUUAAUUUAUGUUAAUAAAUGUUAAUUUAGUGUUAUUAUUAGUCAUCCAAAUUUCAUCCAACACCAGUACACUGCAAAAAUGACUUUCUUACUUGUGUCUUGUUUUCAGUACAAAUAUCAAAAAAUUCUUUAAUCAAGAUGCAUUUUCUUGAUGAGCAAGAAGAAAAAGAAAAUAAGUCUAGUUUUUACACCAAAAAUAUAAAAUUUAAGUGAAUUUGUGCUUAAAACAAGCAAAAAAGGUAAGAAAAAAACUUGAAACAAGUUUACUUAAUUCUCUUAAUUCAAAAAAAGUAAAAAAAAAAUCUUUUUUUUCUUUCUUACCCCACACUGCAAAAAAAAAGAAUCGUAGUAUUUUGUCUUGUUUUCAGUAAAAAUAUCAAAAAAUUCUUAAAUUAAGAUGCUUUUUCUUGAUGAGCAAAACGACCCAAGAAAAUAAGUCUAGUUUUUAGACCAAAAAUAUCAAAUUUAAGUGAUUUUGUGCAUGAAACAAGAAAAAAAAUCUGCCAAUGGGGUAAGCAAAUAUUUAUUGAAUUUUUUUUACUUUAAUGUUUAUGAAAAAUGUUCAAGAUUUUUUUGCUUACCCCAUGAUAUUUUUGGUCUAAAAAAUAAACUUAUUUUCUUGGGUCGUCAAGAAAAAGCAUCUUUAUUUAAGAAUUUUUAAAUGUUUUUACUGAAAACAAGACAAAAAACUAAUCAUUUUUUUCUUGAAAAUAAUUUUUUCAUUGGCAGAUUUUUUUUUUUUUGCAUGUUUCAAGCACAAAUUCACUUAGAUUAAAUAUUUUUGUCAAAAAAUAGACUUAUUUUCUUAGGUCAUUUUGCUCAUGAAUUUUUUGAUAUUUGUACUGAAAACAAGACAGAAAUAUUAAGUAAGCGAGUAAUUUUUUGCAGUGUAGACAUUAACAUUAAUCCUAUUGUAUGUUGUUUUCCCUUUUAAGUGUGAAUGUGGAGAAACAAACCUGUGAAGAUGAAGAUGGACAAAAGACAUGGAUUACACCUUGAUUUGUUUAAAAACAAGAGCAUAUGAAAGCAAAUAUGAAAAUUUCCUGAACAUAUGAAAGCUGAUGAUUUUAUGAAAGGUUUUGUCAAUGAAAGUUGCUAUUUACAACACAUUUGACUCGUAGUAGUGAAGCAUUUCUGAGUUUAAUGAGGACAAAAUUUAGGGCGGGACUAAAUUGUAUUAGUAAGAAAUAGAUUGGAUGGGGAAAAGUGGUCUCUGUAUGAUCGGACUGUUCGGAGAAGAGAACAUUUAUGAAGACAAACAGUUUUGUUUAAGAUAUUGAGUAGGAGGUUUUAAGAUAAGGUAAGGUCAGUGUUUUUUUGUUGAUCAUUAUUUUGUCAGUCUUUAUACUAACAGUAGCUACAAAAUGACUUUCACAAGCACAAGGAAACCAGUCAGAAAUCUUUUUAUGAAAACUCUUUGUGUGUUUUUAUCUGUGUGGUGUAAGAUGUAUUGUAUUCACAGCGGAUCGGCUUGUGUCGGGGUGUCAGACUGUCCUUUGGGGUGAGGUAGUAGGUUGUAUAGUUGUGGGGUGAUAUACUUCCUGUUAGAUAACUAUACAACUUACUGUCUUUCCUGAAGAGGCUGUAAUAUCUUCAUCAUCAUCAUCAUCUUCUUCUUCAAGCCGUGCAGACACCAGAAGUGAAACCUGUGAGGAGUCGACCUCUUUCAUCAGAUUUAUUUCUUAUUAAAAGUGAAUGAAGUGUGAAAUGUGUCUGGGUUCUUCUGAUGCUUAUAUACCGAGGGUUGUUUGAGUGGUUUGUUUGGAUUGAUUGAUUGAUUGAUUGAUUGAUUGAUUGAUUGAUUAUGGGAUGGUUCGGGUUGUUCCUGAUGUUCGUACAGGGUGAGGUAGUAGGUUGUGUGGUUUCAGGGUAGUGAUUUUGCCCCAUCAGGAGGUAACUAUACAACCUACUGCCUUCCCUGGAGGGCAGCGAUACAGCCACUGCAGAGGACGCCGACGUCUCCAAUGCCAUCCGGAUAUAAAGGUACAUACAGAUUAUCUUACAAAAUACAUUUAUGUAACUCCGUACUUGAUCAGUUAACUGAUAUAGGAAGUUUUUUGUCAAGUAGAUAAAGAACAUCAUUAAUAUCUAUCUGAGUUAAUCUUCAAUAAAUGUCUUAUAAUUACUUUUUGUGUUGUUUCUU